GGGGAUUUAGCGCAGUGGUAGAGCAUUUGCUUAGCAAGCACAAGGCCCUGGGUUCGGUCCCCAGCUCCG
Molecule: transfer RNA, 69 nt
Filed under: Rattus norvegicus (Norway rat)
Lineage: Eukaryota; Metazoa; Chordata; Mammalia; Rodentia; Muridae
Rfam family: tRNA
About the family: Transfer RNA (tRNA) molecules are approximately 80 nucleotides in length. Their secondary structure includes four short double-helical elements and three loops (D, anti-codon, and T loops). Further hydrogen bonds mediate the characteristic L-shaped molecular structure. tRNAs have two regions of fundamental functional importance: the anti-codon, which is responsible for specific mRNA codon recognition, and the 3' end, to which the tRNAs corresponding amino acid is attached (by aminoacyl-tRNA synthetases). tRNAs cope with the degeneracy of the genetic code in two manners: having more than one tRNA (with a specific anti-codon) for a particular amino acid; and 'wobble' base-pairing, i.e. permitting non-standard base-pairing at the 3rd anti-codon position.
Source: Rfam by way of RNAcentral